RNAcentral lists this ribosomal RNA (443 nucleotides) under uncultured bacterium. RNAcentral describes it as "partial 16S ribosomal RNA". It matches the Rfam family "Bacterial small subunit ribosomal RNA", at positions 338 to 795 of the family's 1533-position model. The record is from RNAcentral.
CCUACGGGAGGCAGCGGUGGGGAAUAUUGGACAAUGGGGGGAACCCUGAUCCAGCGACGCCGCGUGAGUGAAGAAGUAUUUCGGUAUGUAACGCUCUAUCAGCAGGGAAGAAAGAAAUGACGGUACCUGACUAAGAAGCCCCGGCUAACUACGUGCCAGCAGCCGCGGUACUACGUAGGGGGCAAGCGUUAUCCGGAUUUACUGGGUGUAAAGGGAGCGUAGACGGCGAUGCAAGUCUGAAGUGAACGGCGGGGGCCCAACCCCUGGACUGCUUUGGAAACUGUAUGGCUGGAGUGCAGGAGAGGUAAGUGGAAUUCCUAGUGUAGCGGUGAAAGGCGUAGAUAGUAGGAGGAACACCAGUGGCGAAGGCGGCUUACUGGACUGUAACUGACGUUGAGGCUCGAAAGCGUGGGGAGCAAACAGGAUUAGAUACCCUUGUAGUC